UGAAACUUAAUCAAAUAUUGUUUAAUUUUGGGAAUUCAAUAUUCAUGCAAUUUCAUAUUUAAUUCUCAUAUUAUUUUGUUAUUGAAAUCUACGUUGAUUUUUUAUUGUAAAAUAAUUAUUUGUUAGUUUGAAUAAUUUAAGUCCGUAAUUGCUUGGGUUAUUCUUACAUGACAACACUUGGGAUAAAACCCAAGGAAAUUGUUUGAUCUAGCGUUAUCUCCA
RNAcentral lists this long non-coding RNA (222 nucleotides) under Manihot esculenta (cassava). RNAcentral describes it as "long non-coding RNA (MESC_LNC005542)". The record is from RNAcentral. Lineage: Eukaryota; Viridiplantae; Streptophyta; Magnoliopsida; Malpighiales; Euphorbiaceae.